This 614-nucleotide ribosomal RNA is filed under the name Pseudomonas sp. RNAcentral describes it as "bacterial SSU rRNA". It matches the Rfam family "Bacterial small subunit ribosomal RNA", at positions 60 to 669 of the family's 1533-position model. Lineage: Bacteria; Pseudomonadati; Pseudomonadota; Gammaproteobacteria; Pseudomonadales; Pseudomonadaceae. The record is from RNAcentral.
AGUCGAGCGGUAGAGAGAAGCUUGCUUCUCUUGAGAGCGGCGGACGGGUGAGUAAUGCCUAGGAAUCUGCCUGGUAGUGGGGGAUAACGUUCGGAAACGGACGCUAAUACCGCAUACGUCCUACGGGAGAAAGCAGGGGACCUUCGGGCCUUGCGCUAUCAGAUGAGCCUAGGUCGGAUUAGCUAGUUGGUGGGGUAAUGGCUCACCAAGGCGACGAUCCGUAACUGGUCUGAGAGGAUGAUCAGUCACACUGGAACUGAGACACGGUCCAGACUCCUACGGGAGGCAGCAGUGGGGAAUAUUGGACAAUGGGCGAAAGCCUGAUCCAGCCAUGCCGCGUGUGUGAAGAAGGUCUUCGGAUUGUAAAGCACUUUAAGUUGGGAGGAAGGGCAGUUACCUAAUACGUAUCUGUUUUGACGUUACCGACAGAAUAAGCACCGGCUAACUCUGUGCCAGCAGCCGCGGUAAUACAGAGGGUGCAAGCGUUAAUCGGAAUUACUGGGCGUAAAGCGCGCGUAGGUGGUUUGUUAAGUUGGAUGUGAAAUCCCCGGGCUCAACCUGGGAACUGCAUUCAAAACUGACUGACUAGAGUAUGGUAGAGGGUGGUGGAAUUU